RNAcentral lists this long non-coding RNA (236 nucleotides) under Elaeis guineensis (African oil palm). RNAcentral's name for it is "long non-coding RNA (EGUI_LNC080635)". The record is from RNAcentral. Lineage: Eukaryota; Viridiplantae; Streptophyta; Magnoliopsida; Arecales; Arecaceae.
CCCCCGGGUCCCCCAUUCUGUAGAUGAACCCGUACCUGGGGUGGGGCCUCGCCCGGCUUUUGCAUCGGGUGCCAUUCCCUGUUCCUUGACUCCGGAUGAACUCCUGCUGAUAAGGGUUCAGUACGGAGUUCCUCCGGAGUAUGACCUGGAGCUUCCCAGCCCCUCCGACCGGGCUAGCACUCCUCCAUCCGAUCGCUUUUGCCUGUAUCAGGAGAUGUUCUGUGCCGGGCUCCGGC